Molecule: non-coding RNA, 111 nt
Organism: Acanthosepion pharaonis
Lineage: Eukaryota; Metazoa; Mollusca; Cephalopoda; Sepiida; Sepiidae
Source: the annotation of a GenBank genome assembly
UACGGCCAAAUCUCGUUGAAAUACCGGUUCCCAUACGAUCACCCAAAUUAAGCAAUGUUGAGCCUUUUCAUUACCGAGAUGGGUAACAGCUUGGGAAUGCAAGCUGUUGGA